UCAAUAAUAUUAUAACGAAAUCUAAAUUGUAGAGUAGAAUAAAUCAUUUACAAAAAAUUCACAGAGAUUUAUUAUGAUCUAUCAAAGUUAGAGAAACUCAAAAAACAAUUUAGGAAUAUUUAUAUCCUUGUCAUACCAAUUAUUAAAUUCCCAAAACCAUAUAAAAACGAAAAGCAAGUUGUUAGCUGUUAGCUGUUAGCAAACGCAAUGCUGAUGCAGCGUCGUUUUAUAAAGAACCCCGCCUUUUGGGAAAAUCAAACCACAGAAACAGAAAGAGAUUCUCUCUGGACCUGAAAAAACUGGAACCAAAAAAAAAAGGAAAAAGGAAAAAAAAAAAAACGCAAUUGCUCUUUCCUUUCUUCCUUUCUCUUCCCCCUCUGCAACCAGGUUCGUCUUCUCACCAUCCUUCUGCAAAUCCAUUUUCUCCUUCAAGGCGAAAAAAAAAAAAAAGAAGAGGAAUUCUUGCAAUUCAAAACCAAUUUCAAAAAGGGUAUUACACAAGUAACCUCCUAUAUCUAGCCUCUUUUAAUAUCUGCUCUUAAAAUUCUCUUAUCUAUUUUUACUUUUAAAAGAAACCCCAGAUUUCUCUUCCUGUGAAAGCUUAUCUAAAACCCAUCAAUUUUCUGGGCUUAAUUAGCGCUUCUUUCUUUUUAGUAUUUGAUAAGCCCCGGGUUCCGUUUCUUGUAGCUCUACCGUUUUGUUUCAGUCAAUGGAUUUGCAAUUGGUGAACAAGGCGCUGACUUUUUCACGUAGGAAGAAAAAAUGGCUUAUUUUGUUAGCUAUGUGUGGAGUCUCUGGUUAUGGGGUUUACAAGGUGUAUAAUUUGCCCUCUGUGGUGAAGAAGAGAAAGAGGUUUUUCAAGCUCUUUGGAGCCCUGAUUUCGUUAGCUGAAUUGGUCUCAGAAUCCGCGGAGACGAUCAAUGUUGUCUCCAAGGACUUGAGGGAGUUUUUGCAAUCUGGAUCUGAUCAAGUUCCUAAUAGUUUGAAGCAAAUUUCAAAGAUUGUGAGAUCAGAGGAUUUUUCCCAAUCUUUUAUUAGCGUUACUGAGGCUUUAACAGUUGGAGUUUUAAGAGGGUAUAAGUUAGAAUCAGGGGAUGAGAAUGAAUUGGAAACGGUUUCGGAGAAUUCCAGCUUUACUGAUAGGGUGUUGGAUAGGGUUUUCUCUAAUGCUGGGACUGGUUUUGUAUCUGUUGUGGUUGGUAGCUUUGCUAGGAAUCUGGUUCUGGGGUUUUACUCAAGUGGUGUAGAAAUUGGGGGGUUGAGUGGGAAUGAUGUGUCAUCUGAUGUGCCUAAAUGGGUUAAUGUGCUUUAUGACGAUAAGUGCAAAGAGCUAAUGGCUGAUUGCAUACAAAGAUUUGUAAGCACAGCUAUUGCAGUUUAUCUUGACAAGACAAUGGACAUUAAUACUUAUGAUGAAAUGUUUGCUGGGAUGACCAAUCCAAAGCAUCAAAAAAAUGUGAGGGACAUUUUAGUUUCUGUUUGUAAUGGUGCUGUGGCAACGCUGGUGAGAACAUCACAUCAAGUGUUGACAAGUUCAAACUCGGGUUCUACUUGUUCAGUUCUUGAUCAGAGUGAGGAUGCCAGUGGAAUGAGAGAUGGUUUCAAUAAAGAAGUAUCUGUACAAGGAGUGAAAGAAGGGAGCUCAUUUGAUGGGAUUCAGAAUAAUGGGUGGGUUUAUAAGGUCUCAUCCACAUGGGCAGUUCCCAGCAAUAGGAAGUUUGUGCUUGAUGUGACUGGGAGGGUGACCGUUGAAACAAUAAGGUCUAUAGUGGAGUUUCUAUUAUGGAAGCUUUCAGAGGGUUUGAAAAGAAGCAUUCAUAUUGUCCAUGAGAAGGUUGUGGAAAGGGGACUAGAUGUUAUCAGAUAUGUUGGCGCGAAGUCUUCCGUUAUUGUCACCAUUUGUCUUGCUCUGUACUUACAUAUCCUGGGUGGUAGUAGGGUUCUUUUGCCUGCUUGAACGAGUUUGUACCUUUUUUCAUGGAAAUACAAAGAAAUCUUACCAAAGUUGCUUAUAUCAGAAGGCCUUGUAUGCAUAUUUCUCCCCUGCAAAUAAAAUUUAUAACUAAGUUGAUAGGGAUGAAUCUGGAAAUUGCGAGUGAGACAAUCAUCCACAUUUCUGAUUCUCAGAGGAAACGGAAUUAUUCAAAAGCAGCA
Molecule: non-coding RNA, 2154 nt
Organism: Durio zibethinus
Lineage: Eukaryota; Viridiplantae; Streptophyta; Magnoliopsida; Malvales; Malvaceae
Source: RefSeq, a predicted model, not a curated record